UACGGGGGGAGCAAGCGUUGUUCGGAUUUACUGGGCGUAAAGAGCUCGUAGGCGGUUUGUCGCGUCUGCUGUGAAAACUCGGGGCUUAACCCCGGGCCUGCAGUGGGUACGGGCAGACUAGAGUGCGGUAGGGGAGACUGGAAUUCCUGGUGUAGCGGUGAAAUGCGCAGAUAUCAGGAGGAACACCGGUGGCGAAGGCGGGUCUCUGGGCCGUAACUGACGCUGAGGAGCGAAAGCGUGGGGAGCGAACAGG
Molecule: ribosomal RNA, 253 nt
Filed under: uncultured bacterium
Lineage: Bacteria
Description: partial 16S ribosomal RNA
Rfam family: Bacterial small subunit ribosomal RNA
Source: RNAcentral